RNAcentral lists this ribosomal RNA (497 nucleotides) under uncultured bacterium. RNAcentral describes it as "bacterial SSU rRNA". It matches the Rfam family "Bacterial small subunit ribosomal RNA", at positions 355 to 868 of the family's 1533-position model. The record is from RNAcentral.
UGGGGAAUCUUGGACAAUGGGGGCAACCCUGAUCCAGCCAUGCCGCGUGAGUGAUGAAGGCCUUAGGGUCGUAAAGCUCUUUCGCCUGUGAAGAUAAUGACGGUAGCAGGUAAAGAAACCCCGGCUAACUCCGUGCCAGCAGCCGCGGUAAUACGGAGGGGGUUAGCGUUGUUCGGAAUUACUGGGCGUAAAGCGCACGUAGGCGGACCAGAAAGUUGGGGGUGAAAUCCCGGGGGCUCAACCCCGGAACUGCCUCCAAAACUAUUGGUCUAGAGUUCGAGAGAGGUGAGUGGAAUUCCAAGUGUAGAGGUGAAAUUCGUAGAUAUUUGGAGGAACACCAGUGGCGAAGGCGGCUCACUGGCUCGAUACUGACGCUGAGGUGCGAAAGUGUGGGGAGCAAACAGGAUUAGAUACCCUGGUAGUCCACACCGUAAAACGAUGAAUGCCAGUCGUCGGGUAGCAUGCUAUUCGGUGACACACCUAACGGAUUAAGCAUU